UGGGGUAUAGCUCAGUCAUAGAACACUUGCCCAGCACACAAGAGGCCCUGGGUUCAAUCCCCAGUACUGCAG
RNAcentral lists this transfer RNA (72 nucleotides) under Urocitellus parryii (Arctic ground squirrel). Its description in RNAcentral is "Spermophilus parryii (Arctic ground squirrel) tRNA". It matches the Rfam family "tRNA". Rfam says of the family: Transfer RNA (tRNA) molecules are approximately 80 nucleotides in length. Their secondary structure includes four short double-helical elements and three loops (D, anti-codon, and T loops). Further hydrogen bonds mediate the characteristic L-shaped molecular structure. tRNAs have two regions of fundamental functional importance: the anti-codon, which is responsible for specific mRNA codon recognition, and the 3' end, to which the tRNAs corresponding amino acid is attached (by aminoacyl-tRNA synthetases). tRNAs cope with the degeneracy of the genetic code in two manners: having more than one tRNA (with a specific anti-codon) for a particular amino acid; and 'wobble' base-pairing, i.e. permitting non-standard base-pairing at the 3rd anti-codon position. RNAcentral also lists the same sequence under 1 other name. Lineage: Eukaryota; Metazoa; Chordata; Mammalia; Rodentia; Sciuridae. The record is from Rfam by way of RNAcentral.